This 252-nucleotide ribosomal RNA is filed under the name uncultured bacterium. RNAcentral's name for it is "partial 16S ribosomal RNA". It matches the Rfam family "Bacterial small subunit ribosomal RNA", at positions 524 to 776 of the family's 1533-position model. The record is from RNAcentral.
UACGUAUGGUGCAAGCGUUAUCCGGAUUUACUGGGUGUAAGGGGGCGCAGACGGCGAUGCAAGCCAGGAGUGAAAGCCCGGGGCCCAACCCCGGGACUGCUCUUGGAACUGCGUGGCUGGAGUGCAGGAGGGGCAGGCGGAAUUCCUGGUGUAGCGGUGAAAUGCGUAGAUAUCAGGAGGAACACCGGUGGCGAAGGCGGCCUGCUGGACUGCAACUGACGUUGAGGCCCGAAAGCGUGGGGAGCAAACAGG